CACUGUGGCAAGAGCUAGAAUCAAGAAAUAUAGGCCCAGACUAGAGUGACUCAGCAUGUAUGGUUCGAGGGGCUCUGAAAGGGACAUCUCCAUCUUGAACAUGAGAGCCCCUGGUCUUAUUGCUCAGUGGUCAGAGUUCCUCAGACCGAUACCGUUGGCCUCUGACUAACACCAAAGACGAUGGCUCAGGGUGGGUAAUUAGAACGACCAUAAUGGCCUCUGUAUAUGUAAACCUGGGCCAGACAGAACUGUGUAAAAUACGAUUGCGUGCCUACAAUUUAGCCCUAAUGGACACGAGUGUAUAUACCAAGACCUCUUGCACAAGAUUAAAUUUGUUAUACAUUUUAAAUGUUUCCAGAUGAACGGUCCUUAGCCAGCAUCAGGAGAUGGGGGAGGGUGCCAAGAAGAGGAGCAGUUUGAAUUGACUACUGUGGAGGUUAGAACAGAAAAAAAAAAGAUAGCCCCCCCCCCAUCCCCAACCCCAUCUCCACUCCUUAAGGCUAAAAACCUUUACUCAAGGGGAUGGUGAUAAAAUCAUAUCCAGUAGAGAAAUGGCUAGGCGGCUUCUGUUGGGAUCCCAGAAAAGCAGGUUAAUUUACUUAAGCCAUCUAAUGAGGAAUCAGGCUGCUCCCAGUCUUCAUGACUUCCCCUCCACACACCAGCUCCCCACCCACACUCCCUGCGACCUGCCCUGCAGAUCUCUGCACGGAUCUUCCCCUUCACCUUCACGUUUGGAUUCUAAAUUUCAAAUCCAGCUCAGCCUGGUGGUUUUAAGGACUGGGGCUGGGGGAGGACAUGAGGACAUGGUAUUUGAUUCUAAGAAAAAGGGCUCAGAAACCCUUCUUGGAAAUUCCCCCUGAUCCCACUCAUCACUGUGGCUCCUAAUUUGAUUUGAUGAAUUAAAUACAAAUAAAUCAAAGCCAUGUGGAUCAAAUUUAUGU
Molecule: long non-coding RNA, 941 nt
Filed under: Rattus norvegicus (Norway rat)
Lineage: Eukaryota; Metazoa; Chordata; Mammalia; Rodentia; Muridae
Description: long non-coding RNA NONRATT026812
Source: RNAcentral